Molecule: ribosomal RNA, 468 nt
Filed under: uncultured bacterium
Lineage: Bacteria
Description: partial 16S ribosomal RNA
Rfam family: Bacterial small subunit ribosomal RNA
Source: RNAcentral
GACGAACGCUGGCGGCGUGCUUAACACAUGCAAGUCGAACGGAAAGGCCCUGCUUUUGUGGGGUGCUCGAGUGGCGAACGGGUGAGUAACACGUGAGUAACCUGCCCUUGACUUUGGGAUAACUUCAGGAAACUGGGGCUCAUACCGGAUAGGAUCUCCUGCUGCAUGUUGGGGGUUGGAAAGUUUCGGCGGUUGGGGAUGGACUCGCGGCUUAUGAGCUUGUUGGUGGGGUAGGGGCUUACCAAGGCUUUGAAGGGUAGCCGGCAUGGGAGGGUGACCGGCCACAUGGGGACUGAGAUACGGCCCAGACUCCUACGGGAGGCAGCAGGGGGGAAUAUUGCACAAUGGGCGGAAGCCUGAUGCAGCAACGCCGCGUGCGGGAUGACGGCCUUCGGGUUGUAAACCGCUGUCGCCUGUGACGAAGCGUGAGUGACGGUAAUGGGUAAAGAAGCACCGGCUAACUACGUG